GAGCUGGACCGGGGAAGAUGAAAUGAACUCACCGAAGCCUUUCCAUCAAGGCGUCUUCACCUGCAGGCGCACAGAAGUGGGCUCUUCGUCCUGAUCUCCCAACGCGUCACGGGAACCUUGGAGGGACACUGCCUCCCUCUGGCCCUGGGUUUGCUCUUCUGAGGAAGAAGAAUGUCUGGAGCAGACUGGGGCCCCUCCAGACCCACGCUGGCUGUCCUGGGAAGCUGGCACUAGGCACCGAAUACACAGUGGAAUUUUCCAGAGAUGACACGAUGUGUGACAUUGCAACAGACUGAAGCCACAGCAGAUCUGAGAAUCAUGGGGUCUUCUGCUAAGUCAGACGUUAAAGACAUUUGCAAAUGAAGAAACAAAGCCACUCUCCUAA
RNAcentral lists this long non-coding RNA (385 nucleotides) under Equus asinus (donkey). Its description in RNAcentral is "lncRNA (ENSEASG00005031444.1)". Lineage: Eukaryota; Metazoa; Chordata; Mammalia; Perissodactyla; Equidae. The record is from RNAcentral.